UGCAUUAUAGUAUAUAAGUACUUAGUGUUUUCAUAACUAAAGAGGUAACCUUACCUGUUGCGU
This 63-nucleotide transfer RNA is filed under the name Mexistrophia reticulata. RNAcentral's name for it is "tRNA-Glu". The record is from RNAcentral. Lineage: Eukaryota; Metazoa; Mollusca; Gastropoda; Stylommatophora; Cerionidae.